GCUUGUCUCAAAGAUUAAGCCAUGCAUGUCUAAGCAUGAACUAUAUUAAAGUGAAGCCGCGAAUAGCUCAUUACAGCAGCCGUUGUUUCUUGGAUCUCCUCUUUUACUUGGAUAACUGUGGUAAUUCUAGAGCUAAUACACGCAACUAAGCUCCGACCUUACGGGACGGGCGCAUUUAUUAGAACAAAGCCAAUCGGGCGCAAGCCCGUCGUUUGGUGAAUCUGAAUAACUCAGCUGAUCGCAUUGGUCCUAGUACCGGCGACGCAUCUUUCAAGUGUCUGCCUUAUCAACUUUCGAUGGUAGUUUAUAAGCCUACCAUGGUUGUAACGGGUAACGGAGAAUUAGGGUUCGACUCCGGAGAGGGAGCCUGAGAAACGGCUACCACUUCUAAGGAAGGCAGCAGGCGCGCAAAUUACCCACUCUCAGCACGAGGAGGUAGUGACGAAAAAUAACGAGACGGCUCUCUUUGAGGGCCGUCAUCGGAAUGAGUACAAUCUAAACCCUUAACGAGG
Molecule: ribosomal RNA, 512 nt
Filed under: Tardigrada environmental sample
Lineage: Eukaryota; Metazoa; Tardigrada
Description: bacterial SSU rRNA
Rfam family: Eukaryotic small subunit ribosomal RNA
Source: RNAcentral